GUGCCCCAAGUCAGGCGAG
RNAcentral lists this ribosomal RNA (19 nucleotides) under Plagiostachys albiflora. Its description in RNAcentral is "partial 26S ribosomal RNA". The record is from RNAcentral. Lineage: Eukaryota; Viridiplantae; Streptophyta; Magnoliopsida; Zingiberales; Zingiberaceae.